CUGCGAGUUCGCGGGAGAGUAAGUUAUUGCCAGGGUUUUUAUUUUAUACUUUAAACCUUGAAUUUAUUUUUAAAUGUUUAUAUUAUUUGAAUAAAACAUUCAAAUAAUAUAAAAAAUAAUAUAUAUAUUGACAUGGAUUAAACAAAGAUAUAUAUUAUUCUAUGUUGUAUAAACAAAUUGGCAAAAUAGAGAUGGAAGAUAAAAAUAUGGUCAAAGUAAUAAGAGUCUAUGGUGGAUGCCUAGGA
This 245-nucleotide unclassified non-coding RNA is filed under the name uncultured Borreliella sp. Its description in RNAcentral is "partial 5S-23S ribosomal RNA intergenic spacer". Lineage: Bacteria; Pseudomonadati; Spirochaetota; Spirochaetia; Spirochaetales; Borreliaceae. The record is from RNAcentral.